CUUGACAUCCCUUGCUAAUCCUAGAAAUAGGACGUUCCCUUCGGGGACAAGGUGACAGGUGGUGCAUGGUUGUCGUCAGCUCGUGUCGUGAGAUGUUGGGUUAAGUCCCGCAACGAGCGCAACCCUUAUUAUUAGUUGCCAGCAUUCAGUUGGGCACUCUAGUGAGACUGCCGGUGACAAACCGGAGGAAGGUGGGGAUGACGUCAAAUCAUCAUGCCCCUUAUGACCUGGGCUACACACGUGCUACAAUGGCAUAUACAACGAGUCGCCAACCCGCGAGGGUGCGCUAAUCUCUUAAAGUAUGUCUCAGUUCGGAUUGUAGGCUGCAACUCGCCUACAUGAAGUCGGAAUCGCUAGUAAUCGCGGAUCAGCACGCCGCGGUGAAUACGUUCCCGGGUCUUGUACACACCGCCCGUCACACCAUGAGAGUUUGUAACACCCAAAGCCGGUGGGGUAACCUUUUAGGAGCCAGCCGUCUAAGGUGGGACAGAUGAUUAGGGUGAAGUCGUAACAAGGUAGGCGUAGACGU
Molecule: ribosomal RNA, 529 nt
Filed under: uncultured bacterium
Lineage: Bacteria
Description: bacterial SSU rRNA
Rfam family: Bacterial small subunit ribosomal RNA
Source: RNAcentral